AACGAACGCUGGCGGCAUGCCUAACACAUGCAAGUCGAAAGAGACCUUCGGGUCUAGUGGCGCACGGGUGCGUAACGCGUGGGAACCUGCCCUUAGGUUCGGAAUAACUCCCCGAAAGGGGUGCUAAUACCGGAUAAUGUCUUCGGACCAAAGAUUUAUCGCCUUUGGAUGGGCCCGCGUUGGAUUAGCUAGUUGGUAGGGUAAAAGCCUACCAAGGCGACGAUCCAUAGCUGGUCUGAGAGGAUGAUCAGCCACACUGGGACUGAGACACGGCCCAGACUCCUACGGAAGGCAGCAGUGGGGAAUAUUGGACAAUGGGCGAAAGCCUGAUCCAGCAAUGCCGCGUAAGUGAUGAAGGCCUUAGGGUUGUAAAGCUCUUUUACCCGGGAUGAUAAUGACAGUACCGGGAGAAUAAGCUCCGGCUAACUCCGUG
Molecule: ribosomal RNA, 433 nt
Filed under: uncultured bacterium
Lineage: Bacteria
Description: partial 16S ribosomal RNA
Rfam family: Bacterial small subunit ribosomal RNA
Source: RNAcentral